Molecule: long non-coding RNA, 326 nt
Filed under: Gallus gallus (chicken)
Lineage: Eukaryota; Metazoa; Chordata; Aves; Galliformes; Phasianidae
Source: RNAcentral
GAUAGGAAGAUGCUGUCCAGAGGUAUACCUUGCUAACUCUUUCCAGCUGAGUGAGAAGGAAUACAUGUAUUUGAGAAUUUGGGAGGACAUGAAGAAGACUGCAAACUGGUGAAAAUAAAUUUGGCAUAGAUGUGGCAGUCUUGAUUACAGACAAAAAUGAAGCAGCGAAGUGUGUGCAAGGGAAAGUGACCCACUGUCUACGAUGUGAGGAAUUAAAAUGAAAAAUAAGAAGGGAGCAGCUUGGCAGCUGCAUAGACAUGUCUCCAAUCAAGUGCAGACAGGCUGAUCCGCAUGGGCUCCCAGGCAACGGGAUCCAGGCCAGCUAA